RNAcentral lists this transfer RNA (58 nucleotides) under Salmo trutta (river trout). It matches the Rfam family "tRNA", at positions 8 to 63 of the family's 71-position model. From Rfam's summary of the family: Transfer RNA (tRNA) molecules are approximately 80 nucleotides in length. Lineage: Eukaryota; Metazoa; Chordata; Actinopteri; Salmoniformes; Salmonidae. The record is from Rfam by way of RNAcentral.
UGGCUCAGUUGGUAGAGCAUGGUGUUUGCAAUGCCAGGGUUGUGGGUUGGAUUCCCAC